Long non-coding RNA from Mercurialis annua (annual mercury), 461 nucleotides. RefSeq lists it as uncharacterized. The record is from RefSeq and is a predicted model, not a curated record. The transcript is spliced from 2 exons. NCBI's taxonomy places the organism in Eukaryota, Viridiplantae, Streptophyta, Magnoliopsida, Malpighiales, Euphorbiaceae.
AAAAGUAAUUAUGUGGUUUUAUACUUUCUCCUAUCCGAUAAAAACAAAUAGCAAAUUGUGCAAUCACAUGAUUAAAGGCAUUUGUUUGUUUUUUUUAUUUUGUUUCUAUAUGUUCCAUUAUCAUUUUGUCCAUCUCCUCAUUUCUCCAUAUCCCUAUAUCUCUCUACAAACUGAAAAAAAAAAAAGUAACCUCAAAUAAAAAAAGAUUACUAUGGAUCCACCUGCUUCACAGACUAUAGAGAGGAAUUACCAGGCAGGAGAAGAUGAACAAGACAAAGUUAUUAAUGAAUGUUGUUCUUGCUGCUUUGAUUGCUCAGAAAGCUGCCUUGAUGACCUCUGCUGUUGCAGUCUUUGUUGAGAUAAUUAUAAUAGUAUACUAUGUUAAAAAAGGUUUAUUAUUAUUACUAUGGAAUGAUAAUUCAUUGAAAUUUAGUUAAAGAAACAAUUCAUUUUCUGUUUUA